This 459-nucleotide ribosomal RNA is filed under the name uncultured bacterium. RNAcentral's name for it is "partial 16S ribosomal RNA". It matches the Rfam family "Bacterial small subunit ribosomal RNA", at positions 338 to 795 of the family's 1533-position model. The record is from RNAcentral.
CCUACGGGUGGCAGCAGUGAGGAAUAUUGGUCAAUGGGCGGAAGCCUGAACCAGCCAAGUAGCGUGCGGGAUGAAGGCCCUACGGGUCGUAAACCGCUUUUGCACGGGGACAACACCCGUCACUUGUGGAGGUCUGCAGGUACCGCGCGAAUAAGGGCCGGCAAAUUCCGUGCCAGCAGCCGCGGUAAUACGGAAGGCCCGAGCGUUAUCCGGAUUCAUUGGGCUUAAAGGGAGCGUAGGCGGGCGUUCAAGUCAGCUGUAAAAUCGCGCGGCUCAACCGCGCCCCGCCGUUGAAACUGGACGGCUUGAGUGCACGACAGGCAGGCGGAAUUCGUGGUGUAGCGGUGAAAUGCAUAGAUAUCACGAGGAACCCCGAUUGCGAAGGCAGCCUGCCGGGGUGCGACUGACGCUGAGGCUCGAAGGUGCGGGGAUCGAACAGGAGUAGAUACCCGAGUAGUC